Molecule: ribosomal RNA, 301 nt
Filed under: uncultured bacterium
Lineage: Bacteria
Description: partial 16S ribosomal RNA
Rfam family: Bacterial small subunit ribosomal RNA
Source: RNAcentral
CAGUCGCCGCGGUAAUACAGAGGGUGCGAGCGUUAAUCGGAUUUACUGGGCGUAAAGCGUGCGUAGGCGGCUUCUUAAGUCGGAUGUGAAAUCCCUGAGCUUAACUUAGGAAUUGCAUUCGAUACUGGGAAGCUAGAGUAUGGGAGAGGAUGGUAGAAUUCCAGGUGUAGCGGUGAAAUGCGUAGAGAUCUGGAGGAAUACCGAUGGCGAAGGCAGCCAUCUGGCCUAAUACUGACGCUGAGGUACGAAAGCAUGGGGAGCAAACAUGAUUAGAUACCCGGGUAGUCCCUGUCUCUUAUAU